AUUGAACGCUGGCGGCAUGCCUUACACAUGCAAGUCGAACGGCAGCACGGGUGCUUGCACCUGGUGGCGAGUGGCGAACGGGUGAGUAAUACAUCGGAACAUGUCCUGUCGUGGGGGAUAGCCCGGCGAAAGCCGGAUUAAUACCGCAUACGAUCAACGGAUGAAAGCGGGGGACCUUCGGGCCUCGCGCUAUAGGGUUGGCCGAUGGCGGAUUAGCUAGUUGGUGGGGUAAAGGCCUACCAAGGCGACGAUCAGUAGCUGGUCUGAGAGGACGACCAGCCACACUGGGACUGAGACACGGCCCAGACUCCUACGGGAGGCAGCAGUGGGGAAUUUUGGACAAUGGGCGAAAGCCUGAUCCAGCAAUGCCGCGUGUGUGAAGAAGGCCUUCGGGUUGUAAAGCACUUUUGUCCGGAAAGAAAUCCUUGGCCCUAAUACGGUCGGGGGAUGACGGUACCGGAAGAAUAAGCACCGGCUAACUACGUG
This 486-nucleotide ribosomal RNA is filed under the name uncultured bacterium. Its description in RNAcentral is "partial 16S ribosomal RNA". It matches the Rfam family "Bacterial small subunit ribosomal RNA", at positions 30 to 507 of the family's 1533-position model. The record is from RNAcentral.